UACAGAGGGUGCAAGCGUUAAUCGGAAUUACUGGGCGUAAAGCGUGCGUAGGUGGCGUGUUAAGUGUGAUGUUAAAUCGUGUGGCUCAACCAUAUCGAUGUGUCGCAUACUGGCAUGCUAGAGGACAGCAGAGGCAAGUGGAAUUUGUAGUGUAGCAGUGAAAUGCGUAGAUAUUACAAGGAACACCAAUGGCGAAGGCAGCUUGCUGGGCUACUCCUGACACUGAGGUACGAAAGCGUGGGGAGCGAACAGG
This 253-nucleotide ribosomal RNA is filed under the name uncultured bacterium. Its description in RNAcentral is "partial 16S ribosomal RNA". It matches the Rfam family "Bacterial small subunit ribosomal RNA", at positions 524 to 776 of the family's 1533-position model. The record is from RNAcentral.